This 85-nucleotide transfer RNA is filed under the name Felis catus (domestic cat). It matches the Rfam family "tRNA". From Rfam's summary of the family: Transfer RNA (tRNA) molecules are approximately 80 nucleotides in length. Their secondary structure includes four short double-helical elements and three loops (D, anti-codon, and T loops). Further hydrogen bonds mediate the characteristic L-shaped molecular structure. tRNAs have two regions of fundamental functional importance: the anti-codon, which is responsible for specific mRNA codon recognition, and the 3' end, to which the tRNAs corresponding amino acid is attached (by aminoacyl-tRNA synthetases). tRNAs cope with the degeneracy of the genetic code in two manners: having more than one tRNA (with a specific anti-codon) for a particular amino acid; and 'wobble' base-pairing, i.e. permitting non-standard base-pairing at the 3rd anti-codon position. RNAcentral also lists the same sequence under 5 other names. Lineage: Eukaryota; Metazoa; Chordata; Mammalia; Carnivora; Felidae. The record is from Rfam by way of RNAcentral.
GCCUGGGUGGCUCAGUCGGUUAAGCAUCUGACUUCGGCUCAGGUCAUGAUCUCGCGGUCCGUGAGUUCAAGCCCCGCAUCAGGCU